Small nuclear RNA from Schistocerca gregaria, 107 nucleotides. NCBI's taxonomy places the organism in Eukaryota, Metazoa, Arthropoda, Insecta, Orthoptera, Acrididae. The record is from RefSeq and is a predicted model, not a curated record.
GUACUCCCUUUCGCGGUACAUAUACUAAAAUUGUAACGAUACAGAGAAGAUUAGCAUGGCCCAUGCGCAAGGAUGACAAGCAAAAUCGUGAAACAUUCCACGUUUUA